Molecule: ribosomal RNA, 253 nt
Filed under: uncultured bacterium
Lineage: Bacteria
Description: partial 16S ribosomal RNA
Rfam family: Bacterial small subunit ribosomal RNA
Source: RNAcentral
UACAGAGGUCUCAAGCGUUGUUCGGAUUCAUUGGGCGUAAAGGGUGCGUAGGCGGCGCGGUAAGUCGGGUGUGAAAUCUCGGAGCUUAACUCCGAAACUGCAUUCGAUACUGCCGUGCUUGAGGACUGGAGAGGAGACUGGAAUUUACGGUGUAGCGGUGAAAUGCGUAGAUAUCGUAAGGAAAACCAGUGGCGAAGGCGGGUCUCUGGACAGUUCCUGACGCUGAGGCACGAAGGUCAGGGGAGCAAACGGG